UACGGAGGGUGCAAGCGUUAUCCGGAUUCACUGGGUUUAAAGGGUGCGUAGGUGGGUUGGUAAGUCAGUGGUGAAAUCUCCGAGCUUAACUUGGAAACUGCCAUUGAUACUAUUAAUCUUGAAUAUUGUGGAGGUCAGCGGAAUAUGUCAUGUAGCGGUGAAAUGCUUAGAGAUGACAUAGAACACCAAUUGCGAAGGCAGCUGGCUACACAUAUAUUGACACUGAGGCACGAAAGCGUGGGGAUCAAACAGG
Molecule: ribosomal RNA, 253 nt
Filed under: uncultured bacterium
Lineage: Bacteria
Also listed under: 1 other name
Description: partial 16S ribosomal RNA
Rfam family: Bacterial small subunit ribosomal RNA
Source: RNAcentral